This 460-nucleotide ribosomal RNA is filed under the name uncultured bacterium. RNAcentral's name for it is "partial 16S ribosomal RNA". It matches the Rfam family "Bacterial small subunit ribosomal RNA", at positions 338 to 795 of the family's 1533-position model. The record is from RNAcentral.
CCUACGGGUGGCUGCAGUGAGGAAUAUUGGUCAAUGGGCGGAACCCUGAACCAGCCAAGUAGCGUGCAGGAUGACGGCCCUACGGGUUGUAAACUGCUUUUAUACGGGAAUAACUCGCGUUACGUGUAGGGUUUUGCAUGUACCGCAUGAAUAAGGACCGGCUAAUUCCGUGCCAGCAGCCGCGGUAAUACGGAAGGUCCGGGCGUUAUCCGGAUUGAUUGGGUUUAAAGGGAGCGUAGGCCGCAUCUCAAGCCAAGGGUGAAAUCCCCUGGCUCAACGUGGGAACUGCCUUUGAAACUGGCAAACUGGAGUGUGUGAGAGGAUGGUGGAAUUCCAGGUGUAGGAGUGAAAUCCGUAGAUAUCUGGAGGAACAUCAGUGGCGAAGGCGACCAUCUGGAACAUAACUGACGCUGAGGAGCGAAAGCGUGGGUAGCAAACAGGAUUAGAUACCCCAGUAGUC